UCAUUUCCUCACCAAUUAUGUAUUGCAAAAGCAUAACGUGGAUGUGGACUUGAUA
RNAcentral lists this microRNA precursor (55 nucleotides) under Ciona intestinalis (vase tunicate). Its description in RNAcentral is "microRNA cin-mir-4087 precursor". Lineage: Eukaryota; Metazoa; Chordata; Ascidiacea; Phlebobranchia; Cionidae. The record is from miRBase by way of RNAcentral.